GGAAUUGACGGGGGCCCGCACAAGCAGCGGAGCGUGUGGUUUAAUUCGAGGCUACACGAAGAACCUUACCUGGGUUUGACAUACAAGUAGUAGUGAAGCGAAAGCGGAACGACCUUCGGGAGCUUGUACAGGUGCUGCAUGGCUGUCGUCAGCUCGUGCCGUGAGGUGUUCGGUUAAGUCCGCAAACGAGCGCAACCCUCGGCGUUAGUUACAAGUGUCUAACGCAACUGCCCGUGAGAAACGGGAGGAAGGUGGGGAUGACGUCAAGUCAGCAUGGCCUUUAUAUCCAGGGCUACACACACGGUACAAUGGGCGGUACAACGGGUCGCGAAGCCGCGAGGUGGAGCCAAUCCAUAAAGCCGUUCGUAGUUCGGAUUGCAGGCUGCAACUCGCCUGCAUGAAGUCGGAGUUGCUAGUAACCGCAGGUCAGCUAUACUGCGGUGAAUACGUUCCCGGGCCUUGUACACACCGCCCGUCACGUCAUGGGAGCUGGUCACGCCUGAAGUCGGGGAGCUAACCUAACGGAGGCAACCGCCGAGGGCAGGGCUGGUGACUGGGACGAAGUCGUAACAAGGUAGCUGUACCGGAAGGUGCGGCUGGAUCACCUCC
This 609-nucleotide ribosomal RNA is filed under the name uncultured bacterium. RNAcentral describes it as "bacterial SSU rRNA". It matches the Rfam family "Bacterial small subunit ribosomal RNA", at positions 906 to 1530 of the family's 1533-position model. The record is from RNAcentral.